Long non-coding RNA from Numida meleagris (helmeted guineafowl), 2323 nucleotides. RefSeq lists it as uncharacterized. The transcript has 4 exons. The record is from RefSeq and is a predicted model, not a curated record. Lineage: Eukaryota; Metazoa; Chordata; Aves; Galliformes; Numididae.
CCCCUCCAGGGGCAGUGUUCACAGAUGGGUGUGGGGGUGAGGAGUUACUGGUGAGGCUCUCCAGGAAGGGGGUUUGCAGGCUACCCUUGCACCCUGCGUUUGCAGUUUGAGUUUGGAGCGAGUGUAUGAGCUUCUGCUUGCUUGAAGGUGGCUCAGGAUCCCAGUGACUGAACGAGCAGGGACAGGAGCUGGUCUGCUGAGAAAGCUGGCAAGCCUGAGUGCUAGGAGUGCAGAACUCAGUGGUUUGCUACAACUCUCUCCUCGAUGAUAAAGCUUCAGUUACGAAUGCUGUACGACAGAGGAAGGCUUUAACGCUUGUGCUGCUACUUUGGCCUUGGAGACUUCUGACACAGCCCAAUUUCCUGAGCAGAGACCUGUUUGCAGGGCUUGCAAGGCAUUGCUUCUGCUCCUGUGUUACAGGGUCAGCCUGGAUUUCAAGAGGAUGCAGUAGACUUCAUGCUUUCCUGGAGGGAAAGUGACAGGUGCCACAUUUCUUUGUGUGUGCAAGUCUGUAACUGUCUCGUGGCAUUCUAGUACUUCUCCCAAGAUGAGUGGAGGUUGUACUGGUCAAGAAUUGAAGUGGAAAGAAUAUGAAAAGGGUGCAGUGCGGGGCAAUUUCAAAUAAAACUGUGUGAACUUCAGAGGCAGCAGCUAAUGCUGCUUUUCUCAUGUGGCAGCCAUUUAUUUCCUCAUAAAACAUAGGACACAGUCUUCCCAAACCAGCUCUGGUGCUGGGAGAAGCACUAGAAGUUCAGGUUUGCUCUGCACUGUGUUUUACUCAAUGCCUCUUAUGGAAAUAGAAGCUUGGGCUUCCUAGACUCCUGUUCUUUGUUCCUCUGUGGCUUGCUGCAUGUGUUUGAAUCGAUAUCUUUUCACAGUUGUAUUUACUGGACUUCAAACUGCACUAUUACAGCAUCUCAUGCACAUACAUGUAAAGAAGUGGGGAAACAUCAGCUGCAGCAGCUGCACUGCUUGGGUUUCUGCUCUCCGUGGCCUUGCAUUAAGUGACCACAUUUUCCCUGCAUUUAUUCUGUUGUCAGGUUAACUGUGUAUGAGUCUUCCACUCCUGCCAUGGAGGGAGAGGAGGGCUUCCUACAGGAGCACACAAGCCUCAUUGCUGUCAGCCAUCUAGCUGCAGCAUUCUGGAUUGGCAGUGCUACCGUCUAUCUUAUAGUGGCAAUACUGUUUAUUACACCAACGAACUAUUCACCUCUGCAACAAAGCUCCAGCUACACUCUGUUAUGCCCCAGGUGUGCUUAGUUCAUAUGUAGUUUACCCAUCAUUUACUCAUCUCCUGAAUAUGCCUCAGGGCUGAUUUAAGCACUGAUCACCAAGCUACUCACCUACUUCCUCUACUAGGAGUUGAACAGAGGUGUUUAUUAUCCUAUCUUGCUCAUUCUCUAAGUAACUCAUUCUGAAGAGCUUCCUAAGGGCUGCCUUUGGAGCUGCUUCAUUUAUUCUUUUGCCACUGUUUCCUAUGCAAAUUUGUGGGUUUUUUUUUAGGAAGCCCAAGCCAAAAUGAUUCCCCCAAGUUUGUCAACAGAUCACUAAUUGCUCUGGGGGGAGUUGCUGUUAACGGGGUCAGGAAACAUUCCUCUGUUUUAAUUUAGGGAAUAUAAAAUUAACGAGGUUGCACCUACUGGGAUAGUGACAUGCCCAUUUGUUUUAUUAACAGCAGACACAGUUUUAUUAGAAAAACAAAGUAGAAAAAGAUCUACUGGGACAAACUCACAAGCAUCACUUGAACAAGGUCAAAUCUCUUAUUAUUCUGGUCUGAUCACACUGGAGCUGAAAGUGAGCUGUGCUCUUGGGAUUCACACCUGAUCUGGUGGUUAGUGUUGUGUUCAGCACUCCCCUGAUCCUAUCCCAGCUUAUCAGCAGUGUUUAUUUUGUUCCGCUGUGUGAUCCUGUACCAACACUUGGCUGCUGUUGUCUGGCUGUUAAAGCCCUGGUGCUCGCUGGCAGGGACUGCUUACUGUGAUUCUUCUCUUGGACAAGAGACCUCAAAGGACUGGGGCCCUUGAAACUUUCUCAGGGAGAAGCUAAACAAUUCUUUCAGACCACGGUGUCCAAACAGAACCAUUUUGCCUUUACAGUGAACUAGUAGGAUCUCCCUGUACUGCUUUUCCUGAACACUUUCUGCAUUGCUGGCAGGCAUUGUGCUAGCCCACAAUGGAGCUGCAGCCAACCCUGCCUUCAUUAUGGUGCUCACUUUCCUUGCUCUCUUUGGCAAGCUCUCUCCCUGUUUGCAGUGCUUCCCCUGGACAAUUUCAACAGUAGGUUGGUGGGUAGCUGAGCACUGGUCCCAUUACCCUGGUUUCAU